GAUUAAGUUAUUAAGGGCGCACGGUGGAUGCCUUGGCACUAGAAGCCGAUGAAGGACGUUACUAACGACGAUAUGCUUUGGGUAGCUGUAAGUAAGCGUUGAUCCAGAGAUUUCCGAAUGGGGGAACCCAGCAUGAGUUAUGUCAUGUUAUCGACAUGUGAAUUCAUAGCAUGUCAGAAGGCAGACCCGGAGAACUGAAACAUCUUAGUACCCGGAGGAAGAGAAAGAAAAAUCGAUUCCCUGAGUAGCGGCGAGCGAAACGGGAAGAGCCCAAACCAACAAGCUUGCUUGUUGGGGUUGUAGGACACUCUAUACGGAGUUACAAAAGAACAUGUUAGACGAAUCAUCUGGAAAGAUGAAUCAAAGAAGGUAAUAAUCCUGUAGUCGAAAACAUAUUCUCUCUUGAGUGGAUCCUGAGUACGACGG
Molecule: ribosomal RNA, 426 nt
Filed under: Staphylococcus epidermidis
Lineage: Bacteria; Bacillati; Bacillota; Bacilli; Caryophanales; Staphylococcaceae
Description: partial 23S ribosomal RNA
Rfam family: Bacterial large subunit ribosomal RNA
Source: RNAcentral